This 246-nucleotide ribosomal RNA is filed under the name uncultured bacterium. RNAcentral describes it as "partial 16S ribosomal RNA". It matches the Rfam family "Bacterial small subunit ribosomal RNA", at positions 15 to 244 of the family's 1533-position model. The record is from RNAcentral.
GAUCAUGGCUCAGGAUGAACGCUGGAGGCGUGCUUAACACAUGCAAGUCGAACGGGAAUUACUUUAUUGAAACUUCAGUCGAUAUGAUUUAAUUCUAGUGGCGGACGGGUGAGUAACGCGUGGGUAACCUGCCUUGUACAGGGGGAUAACAGUCAGAAAUGACUGCUAAUACCGCAUAAGCGCACAGGACCGCAUGGUCCGGUGUGAAAAACUCCGGUGGUAUAAGAUGGACCCGCGUUGGAUUAG